Molecule: microRNA precursor, 79 nt
Filed under: Xyrichtys novacula (pearly razorfish)
Lineage: Eukaryota; Metazoa; Chordata; Actinopteri; Labriformes; Labridae
Source: RNAcentral
UAAGGAUCUAAGGAACGUCCUCAGGUUGGUGUGUUUUGACUCAAAACACACCAACCUGAGGACGUUCCUUAGAUCCUAG